CAAAAGGCACCUCAGACACAGAUCUGUGUUCUACACCUCAUGACAAACACCUGUGACACCUGCACACGUCCUCACUUUCAGGUAAUACACAUGAUACUGCUUUUCAUUCACUCCAGGAGGGCAAUGGAUUUUGCUUUCUCUUCUCAAAAAGUCACUGCUUUCUCCUUAUAUGUAUUGUGCCCUACCUGCUCCAAGAACACACAGCAUUCCAGUUUUCUGCUUAGACACAAGGGCUACCCUCUGUGGCCUGAACAUAUAUUGCACAACAAAGCAAAGCUGCUGAGGCGACUUCAAACUUGCUUGAACCAUCCCAGAUUCUCACAUCACUCCUGCCUGCAGGAGGGGUUUCAGGUAUGAUUGACUGAACCUCAAGUCCUGCUGCCAGUGAAACCAACUGGAGCUGAUUCAGCCCUCAGGGGAGAUGGUGUUUCACCUUCAGACCACGAACCUGGAGGCAGGAUGGAAACAGUAACUGACUCCAGUACAGGAAAAGGAUGUUCAACUACCUGGAGAUUAAGAUGGAUUUGAACAUUCCCCCUGUUCAGCACAAAUGCAGCUGUUUGAGAAGUCAAAUCAUGAAAGGAAAUACAAAUUUCAGCUC
This is a long non-coding RNA of Vidua macroura (Pin-tailed whydah), 601 nucleotides long. RefSeq lists it as uncharacterized. The transcript has 3 exons. The record is from RefSeq and is a predicted model, not a curated record. NCBI's taxonomy places the organism in Eukaryota, Metazoa, Chordata, Aves, Passeriformes, Viduidae.